RNAcentral lists this ribosomal RNA (452 nucleotides) under uncultured bacterium. RNAcentral describes it as "bacterial SSU rRNA". It matches the Rfam family "Bacterial small subunit ribosomal RNA", at positions 339 to 791 of the family's 1533-position model. The record is from RNAcentral.
GUACGGGAGGCAGCAGUGGGGAAUAUUGCGCAAUGGCCGAGAGGCUGACGCAGCGACGCCGCGUGUGGGAUGAAGCUCUUCGGGGUGUAAACCACUGUUGCCCGGGACGAAACUCCUGCUUUGGCGGGAUUGACGGUACCGGGUGAGGAAGCACCGGCUAACUCCGUGCCAGCAGCCGCGGUAAUACGGAGGGUGCGAGCGUUGUCCGGAAUCACUGGGCGUAAAGGGCGCGUAGGUGGCUCGUGAAGCGUGCGGUGAAAGUCCGAGGCUCAACCUCGGAUCGGCCGUGCGGACUCGCGGGCUCGAGCGUUGUAGAGGCGGGUGGAAUUCCGGGUGUAGCGGUGGAAUGCGUAGAGAUCCGGAAGAACACCGGUGGCGAAGGCGGCCCGCUGGGCAACUGCUGACACUGAGGCGCGACAGCGUGGGGAGCAAACAGGAUUAGAUACCCCGGU